Long non-coding RNA from Chelonia mydas (Green sea turtle), 4951 nucleotides. RefSeq lists it as uncharacterized. NCBI's taxonomy places the organism in Eukaryota, Metazoa, Chordata, Testudines, Cheloniidae. The record is from RefSeq and is a predicted model, not a curated record. The transcript has 3 exons.
ACAGGAAACGGGGGCUCCUGGGAAAAUCUGCAGUCACUGACUGGGAAGAGGGAGGAGUGUUUGGAGGUAGCAGAGAUGGGUAGCCUGUAGUUGCUCACUGGGAGAAGAGAGUGGUGAAGCUGGCAGACCCAGAGAAGGAAGGGAGAGCCAAAGGUUAGGACAGCUCAGGGAAAUGCAGUAAGCAGAGAGACAAGGACUGUAGAAAGACCCGAGGAGGAAUAGAAGACAUUUGAGUUGAUUAUUUGGGAUUUUAAGGACAGUGGUGACCAUGGAAGGAGGGUGACACUAGGGGAACCUGGCAAGGUCCCAACACAAGAGACCAUCUGAAAGGCCAUAAGGGGCACUCUAGGAUGGUGGACCUGUUACACAGUGCUACAGAUUUGAACCCCUGCUAACAGGGCACUUGGGUGAAAGAAGUACAGAGACACACCUUCCACUACAGAUCUAGUGGUAUGGCCACAUAUAAUUAUCUACAAUUAUAUACUUCCUCAAAGCUGUGAAACAAACCAGGAUUUGAGCUGAUAUAUGACAAAGGAUGGAACAGAUGAAUGGAGUAACCCACGACCAGUCCCAUGGUGUCCAAGGCAGAAUCAAUAAGGAGCAAGAUCUUAAAACAAGUGACACAUUCUAGUUUUUUUCACUCUAGUUGUUCUCAGGACACUGAUAAGGUUGGACUGGAAAGGGGAGAUGAUUCCAAAAAUUGAUAUAGCAUGGUACUGAAGCCUAAAGACCAAGCAAAAGUUUGUUGGUGUGAAUCAGAGGACAGGCUAAGGAUGUUAUCAAAGUGAACAUAUAAUGUAAUGGACAAAACAAGUAUUGAACAAAUGAAGUACAGAUGGAAAGAGAAAAUACUUUCUGCAUGGAAAGACAAAAGCACAAGAGUUUAAAAAUAACCUGGUUUUUCAAACUGUAGCGCCUGGAAAUAGUGAUCAAGAGAUAGUGUUUGUGACUUGCAUUUUAGAACAGCAGAUAAAUCUGAUCUUUUUAUUCAGUACUCCAGAUUCUCUCCCGAGUUCUGAACAACUGGGUCUGUUCGUUACAGCUUUUAAUAAUAAUGGAAUCAAUUUUAUUUGUCCCCAAUUUUGCCCUAAGCAGGCAAUAUGAAAUAAAGUAUUAUGAAGUGAUGUAGUAAUCACCUGUUUGUGCAUGUCCGUUACUUGGAGAUUCUGCGACAGCAUCUAUCUGAAGGGACUGCAUCCUCUUCACAAGUUCAGUUGGCCCAGGGUACACUUUCUGUACACAGGAAAAAAAAUAUCAUGAAGCAGGUGAAAGUUUAAGCAAAGGAAGUAUCUUUACUGUAGAAACCAAAUGCAUCCCCUCAGCGAGUGGCCCAAGUGAACAGCUUGCACAGAUUUCACGUUCUUUGGUGGAAUGCUGGUGGACCAUGAUCCUUGCUUUGUGGGGCUUGCUUACUAGUGAGGUUAAGUUUACAGACAAGCAGUGUCUACUUUCAAGGAAGGCAGGAAUGAUUACUAUGUAAAUAUAGGGCAUGAUGCUCUGAUCUGGCCAAGUUGUGCCCUUACUCACACUGACUACUACCUUAGUCCAUGAGCUAAUCCCAUUGGACUAGACAGUGACUCUCUGCACUGCUUCCACCUCAGGGCUGUACCUACAAGUCAUAGACUUAUCACAAUGCAAUCUACAGGAUUGCUUGCAGAGUAAGAUGCUGCUUAAAGGGUAGCAGAAUCAUGCCCUAUUUUAUGUAUUUACAUGUAGAGUUUAACUGGAAAAAAAAAAAUCCACGGCUAUGGCCUUGUUCUGACAACUGUUUAUAUGUGGGAUAUGGGGACAGUGAGCUUGGUGAAGAUCCUUGGAAGGAAUGUUUCAUAGUGUUUCACUGCACUUUCACCUUUGCAAAUCCUUGUCUUUAUUUCUCAAGGCCGAAGAAAUAAUCAUCUUUACCCUGGCAUUUUGAUGUUCCAGCCAUUCAUGCCUUUUUGAUGUCCUUACUCAAGUAAAACUUGACGUCAAAUGCAGUUUUACCAGAUUAAGGACUUCUGGAUUUGACCUCUUGUUCUUACUUGCACUUCUCAGAAGGUCAUUAGUCACUGUCUUACCAGGAAGUCUUUUCACAAAUUAAAAACCAACAACAAUCUCUUCCUGUAAACGUAUCUUGAUCCCAGGUUUUCAAAGUUAAAAACUUCAUUUUGGCCUUCUGUUAGGGCCUGAUUCUGACACCCUGCUUAUGUAACUGUGUAUUACCCUGCUCCAGGAAAAGUCCCAUUGGUAAAGAGUGCAGCAUACUCCACCCUUGUCUUAUUUAAAAGGGAUUAUUUUCAGAGAAAAGUGCUACUCAAAAAUCAAACAGUAAAAAGCUUCAAAACAUAUUGGUACAGCUUUGUUACUUGACCAUAUUCAUUUGCUUUUAUGUUGUAUCCUUAUCUCCUACCCGUUGUCUGUUUCUGCCUUCAGACUCUCAGCCAUUGAGGGCAGCGAUUGUUUCUUUUGUGCUUGUGCAGAACACAGCACAAUCCUGAUUGGUAGCACCCAAAAGCCCCAUAAUAUAAAAUAUUUACUACUCAGAAUUAGUAUGGGUGUUAGAAUCAGUUCCAGUAGAAUAUUUAUUGUCUGUUUUGUCAACUUUAUUUUGCAAAGUUUUGCUAUCUUGCCAAAGAAUACUGGACACGUCUUCAAAGUCACCGCAUGGAUUUCCCAAAUCAGAAAUGUUUUAAAUUCCCCAUCCUGCAAUUUCAGGGAGAGGGAAAGCACCUGACAAAAUAUGGCUGUGUAGCAGAACGGCGGCACCAUGGGGACACUUUCACUUAUUAGUUUAAAAUAUUGGGGAUGCAAUCCUUGUCACCUGCAUAUAAAUGGUACUUUCAUUUCAGGGUUCAGCCACAGCAUCAGGCCCUUAAUGUCAGUAGGACUACUCCAAUAAGUAAAUGUUUUCUAGUGUGACUAAGGGCUCCACAAUCUGGCCCAAAGCAUUUGCCAGGAAGUAACUUGCCUUUCAUUAUUAUUUCAGAUCAGGAAAGCAUCCUUCUGCACAACAGUUUGCAAGCUACAUCCAAUGGGAGGAACAGGGAACCAAGUUACAGCUGAGAGAGGACUCAAAACUUUGAAUUUCCUGACUUUUUUCUUGUUUAGAUUACAGUAAUGCUUAGAGGUCUCAACCAGGUUCAGGCCUCUCUGUGCUAGGUACUAUAUAAACAUAUAGUAAACUAUGUAUUCAAAAAACUCAGCAAUAGCACUUCAUAAGCUGUGAACCAGAUUCUGUCACCUUAACUCAUGUUGAAUAGUAGCUUGCUCAACAAAUAGCCUCUUUUAAUUUCCAUUAACGUUAAUGCAGUAACACCAGUAUAAAACUAAUGUAAAUGUGAUUUCAGGAGGAUUUCUAAUGGAGGAAAGUUCUACUCACUGGCGAUCAGAAUCUAGCUAACAGGGCUUUUUUUACAUUUAGCAGGGGCUGGAUUCUGCCAUCCAUACUCACACUAAGUAGCCCUUUACUCCACAAGCAGACCUAUUGGAAUAAGUGGGAGUGCUUAUUGAAUAUAGUAUUACUUAGUGUGAGUAAGGGUGUUAGAAUUUGGCCCUGUAUGUAUGUAUGUGUGUGGGUUUUUUUACUUACAAGUUUACGCUCGGAAGCAUCUGGGAUGCUACUUACCUUUAUCUUUCUCAAGUCAUCUUCAACAUCUUUUUCUAGUUGCUCACAGUAAAAUGGCUUGUAUUUCUGACUAAUUUCUGCAGGAAAGGAAGAGUUGAGGAAAGUAGUUUUAAACAGCAAAUAUAAAUGACUGUGCUGCUUAGCUCACUUCCACCAAAACAUUAACCAGUUAGUUACAUAAGUUUAUAAACAGGAGUGGGCUCAUAAAAAUGUAAGCAAUGUUAGCAGGGCUGAUUUAGUCUUAAAAAAGAAUGUAAUAAGAACUGAAUUCUUGUUCACUUUUAAGUAUUGCAUACACUCAGUUGCACUGGGCUAUUUAAUAAACACCUCCCUACCCAACUGCAAAGCCCGCACAGGCUGUGACUUUAAGACAGGUGACUACAAAGAUAGUGAGGGACAGCCAGGGUCUUCCAACAGCAUUAGGCUUGGCUUCCUAUGUUCUAAGCUCCUGUAGUGUCUUAGCAAGACAAAGGAACACUUCUAUCCAGCUUUAGGGUCAAACUGCUAUAUAAUCACUGGCCUGAGCCAGGGAGCUCUGGAUAACAGGUGUCACCCACAGCAUAUGCCCUUUUCAUGUUAUCAGCUGUGUAAUGGAACCCUAUUCUUUGAGAGACCCCCGCUAGGGUGCAUGGAGGGAGCAGGUUUCUGUGCUCCCCCAAGCACAAGGACUGCAAUUUGGGACUGGCCCUUUUGCUGGGCAUGCAAAAAGAGGAAUAAGCCUUCUACCUCAUCCAUCCCCCUCAUCUCACCUGUGCCAUGGGGAGUCAAAAUCUGUAAAGCACCUCAUAUACAAACUAUAUCCCAAAUGGAGUGCCUUGCUCCAUGAGUGGUCCCAUUGACUGGGUCUGCUAUUAACAGCUUUAUAAUACUACUUACCUUCUCUGAGAAGUAUUUUAUUAUCAUUGUCUCCAGUUUCCUGAUGAGGAGAAACUGAGGCACAGUACUCCUAUAGACCUGAUGUACUAGCAGCAGAAUAUGCAGGUUUGACAAUGGGAUAGCAAGCAGGCCCCUAACAGGAUACUGAAGAGCUUAAAAAAAUGCAGGGGGUGCAUGUUUGUGUGGUGAACUUUUAAGCUGGCAAAGCUCCACUGAAGUCAAUGAAACUAUACCAAUGUAUAUCUACAGAAAUAUGUGGUCCAGAGUUUAUUCAGAAUUCAGAUCAUGGACUUGACUUGUGUGUGUGAGGAGAUUAAUUUUUAUUUUGAAAAGAAACCUGAGACACACAAACCUGUGACAAACAAAAGUCAUGACUUUCUGAAAGGAAGGAUUAAGCUCAUUUGCCAUAUUUUGUAAAACACUGGAUAUGUCCAAACAAAAAUAAUCCUGAAGCAGUAUUUUACCUGAGAA